CUUUAAAGAAAAGGGGGAGAUUAUUCCCAGAAGAGCGGAAAUUAGAACCAGGCAUGGCUGCCGCAGCCUGCUGUAAUGAAAAGAGGUCAGAAAGCUGAAAAGGACAGAGUCACACCUCUGCUAACAGGGGCUGUCCCUUCCUUCUCUCAGUGUGGCAAGCACCUCACUGGGGAAAUGGAUGUUCCAGAAAUUUACAGGGGCAGGUGAACCUUGUAAAGUGCUCACUCUUUGAAGAUCUGGGCAGUUUCCAGCCAAACUUCUGGAGAGCGGCAGGAUCAGCAGCCCCUGUCACUGGGAACCUGACAUAAUGAUAAGAGAAGCAGCUGCGAGGGAUCUUAACAGGCUGAAUAAUAUUCCAUUGUAUGAAAAUUGGAGAUAUCAAGGGAACAUUCCAUGCAAGGAUGAACACGAUAAAGGACAGAAACAGUAAGGAUCUAAAAGAAGCAGAAGAGGUUAAGAAGAGGUGGGAAGAAUACACAAAACUAUACAAAAAAACAGUCUUAAUGACCUGGAUAACUACAGAGAUGUCAUCACUCACUUAGAGCCAGACAGCCUGGGAUGUGAAGUCAAGA
Molecule: long non-coding RNA, 572 nt
Organism: Bos taurus (domestic cattle)
Lineage: Eukaryota; Metazoa; Chordata; Mammalia; Artiodactyla; Bovidae
Source: Ensembl